RNAcentral lists this ribosomal RNA (492 nucleotides) under uncultured bacterium. RNAcentral's name for it is "partial 16S ribosomal RNA". It matches the Rfam family "Bacterial small subunit ribosomal RNA", at positions 29 to 507 of the family's 1533-position model. The record is from RNAcentral.
AGUGAACGCUGGCGGUAGGCCUAACACAUGCAAGUCGAACGGCAGCACAGUAAGAGCUUGCUCUUACGGGUGGCGAGUGGCGGACGGGUGAGGAAUACAUCGGAAUCUACUUUUUCGUGGGGGAUAACGUAGGGAAACUUACGCUAAUACCGCAUACGACCAACGGGUGAAAUCAGGGGUCCUUCGGCCCUUGCGCGAUUGAAUGAGCCGAUGUCGGAUUAGCUAGUUGGCGGGGUAAUGGCCCACCAAGGCGACGAUCCGUAGCUGGUCUGAGAGGAUGAUCAGCCACACUGGAACUGAGACACGGUCCAGACUCCUACGGGAGGCAGCAGUGGGGAAUAUUGGACAAUGGGCGCAAGCCUGAUCCAGCCAUACCGCGUGAGUGAAGAAGGCCUUCGGGUUGUAAAGCCCUUUUGUUGGGAAAGAAAAGCAGCAGGUUAAUACCCCGCUGUUCUGACGGUACCCAAAGAAUAAGCACCGGCUAACUUCGUG